This 410-nucleotide ribosomal RNA is filed under the name Verrucomicrobiota bacterium. RNAcentral describes it as "Verrucomicrobia bacterium partial 16S ribosomal RNA". It matches the Rfam family "Bacterial small subunit ribosomal RNA", at positions 355 to 776 of the family's 1533-position model. The record is from RNAcentral. Lineage: Bacteria; Pseudomonadati; Verrucomicrobiota.
UGGGGAAUAUUGCACAAUGGGCGGAAGCCUGAUGCAGCGACGCCGCGUGAGGGAUGACGGCCUUCGGGUUGUAAACCGCUUUCAGCAGGGACGAGGCCGCAAGGUGACGGUACCUGCAGAAGAAGCCCCGGCUAACUACGUGCCAGCAGCCGCGGUAAUACGUAGGGGGCAAGCGUUAUCCGGAUUCAUUGGGCGUAAAGCGCGCGUAGGCGGUUUGUUAGGUCAGGAGUUAAAUCUGGGGGCUCAACCCCUAUCCGCUCCUGAUACCGGCAGGCUUGAGUCUGGUAGGGGAAGGCGGAAUUCCAAGUGUAGCGGUGAAAUGCGCAGAUAUUUGGAAGAACACCGGUGGCGAAGGCGGCCUUCUGGGCCACGACUGACGCUGAGGCGCGAAAGCUAGGGGAGCGAACAGG